This 440-nucleotide ribosomal RNA is filed under the name uncultured bacterium. RNAcentral describes it as "partial 16S ribosomal RNA". It matches the Rfam family "Bacterial small subunit ribosomal RNA", at positions 338 to 795 of the family's 1533-position model. The record is from RNAcentral.
CCUACGGGUGGCAGCAGUGAGGAAUAUUGCGCAAUGGAGGCAACUCUGACCCAGCCAUGCCGCGUGAGUGAAGAAGGUUUUCGGAUUGUAAAGCUCUUUCGGUUGUGACGAUGAUGACGGUAGCAUCUAAAGAAGCCCCUGCUAACUUCGUGCCAGCAGCCGCGGUAAUACGAAGGGGGCAAGCGUUGUACGGAAUUACUGGUCGUAAAGGGAGUGUAGGCGGUUUAGUAAGAUAGUGGUGAAAUCCCAGGGCUUAACUUGGGAAUUGCCAUUGAAACUUUUAGACUAGAAUUACGGAGAGGAUAGUGGAAUACCCAGUGUAGAGGUGAAAUUCGUAGAUAUUGGGUGGAACACCAGUGGCGAAGGCGACGAUCUGGAUGUACAUUGACGCUGAGGCUCGAAAGCAUGGGGAUCAAACAGGAUUAGAUACCCCUGUAGUC